AAAGAAAAAAUAUGCGAAGAACGGCGGAUAUAGUCACCAUUGCUAGAAAAAGUAGAAUAAUUGAUUAGAAGAAUAAGAACUAAUUGAAGAAAAAAGAUGAAAUGAUGAAAAAAGAAAGAGAAGAGAAUUAAAGAAGAAUGUGAAGCAGAUAAAUGACGACAUAAUAAAAGAGAAUGAUAGAUAGGGGUGUCAAAAUAGGUUAAUACCCAUGGGUUACCCAAACCCCUCCAUGAUUUUAAUGGGUUUUAGCGGGUUACCCUAACAGGGUUAUGGGUUUAUGAUAUGUCUAUAAUUUGCAUGUUUUCAGUGUCCAUUCAUCAUCGUUUUGAGUCCAGUUUCAUAUCAUUCAUAACUGUUUUAUAUCAUUUCUCAUCAUUCUUGCAUACUUUGCAUUAUUAGGAUAGCUUUGCAUACAUAUUGCAUUUCUGAGUUGUUUUCAGGUGAUUUGGAGCUGUUGAAGAAGAAACGAGCCAGAACCAGGAGACAUACUCGACCACCAGGUCGUGUGCAUCUAGCGCCAUACUCGACCCCCUGGUCGAGUGACUUUGGAGCCAUUCUUCCCAUCUACUCGACCCCUAGGUCGAGUAUCCUCAGCUCAGGCCACUCGAUGAUGCCACUCAACCCCCUGGUCGAGUAACACUUCGCCACACCACCUGACCACAUUCGGCCGUUCACUCUACCACGUUACUCGACCUCCUGGUCGAGUAUCAUCACUCACCACCAACACCAUCACUCGACCGGACACUCGAUCACGUCUUCAAAGUCUACUCAAAUCCGCACUCAACCAGGCAAGCUGAGCAUAAGGAAGAGAAGAGGAGAAGACGAAGUGUUUGGAAACGGCCUGGACCUCCACCGGAUCACGAAGCCCAUCUCGGCCCAUUAUCAUUCUAUGGGCCGGGCGAUUAGGUUAUUGGCCCGUCUACUAUCAUUUUAUUUCGUUUUGUAUAAAUAGAUGUCUUAGGGUUCUGUCUUGGGACAUCUAGUCGACAUUGAGUUUUUGCUUCAGUUUUAUUUGCUGUUUUACUCUGCUGCGCCGCUUUUGCUUCUACAACCUGUAAUUCAAUAUUUUUCCAAGUUAUUCAGAUUCCACAUUUUAUCUCAUCUGUCAUCUUGUUUCUCUACUCUUUAUCUCUUUACUUAUGCAAUAUUAUCAUUUAUCUGCGUUUAUGUCUUUGAGCAUGUUGUUUGAGUAGUGACUUAGAAUUUUUAGGGAUGGGAUAGAGUAGUUGUGGAAUCUGUAGUCUGUAGAAUGGUUAAGUUUUAGAAUUGAUUGAAUCCCUUCAGGACUAGUUGUGUUUACUGCUUAUUUCUUUCUGAUCAAUUGGAAUUUGAUCCCAAGCAUUCUCGCACCCAGAAGGUGUUCGAUGGAAUGCUUGAUCCACUAGUUCCUGAGAUAUUCGUCUCUAUCCCAAGGGAUUGGCCGUUUAGAGCGUUUAUUGACUUUAUCAGUCUGUUUCUUAUUGCCUGCAUAGUUAGAUUUCGUUAAUGGGAAUUAGUCUGGGUUAGCUUUGCUUGAGGAUUUCUAUCACGGGAGUGAAUUGAUCUGUUGUUGAACCUAUUGUCUAGGGAUAGCUUGAUUGCGCUUGUUAACCAUUCGAAUAGGCUAGGAUACCACUCUAUUCGAUUACCCCAUCCUUAGGAAUUUCUCGUCUAUUUGAUUUCUUUGUUAUAUCGUUAUCACUUAAUCGUUCUCAUUGCUUGUUUCUUUGUUUUUGCAAUCACUCGAUCAACUUACUCGACCACACCCAGUGUCUGGCAACAGACUGUGCAGUCGAGUACGGUUGUCUCAUUUCCUGUCUGUCACUCGACCGGUAUACUCGACCACACCCAGUGUCUGGCAACAGUCUGUGCAGUCGAGUAUAUCUGUUUCAUAUCCUGCCUGUUACUCGAUCACAUCCUACAUCUGGCAUCAGCCUGUUGUGGUCGAGUGAUUUUAGUAAUUCUGUUAUUGUUUCUGUUUUCUGCAUGUUCACUUAGGACUGUUAGAAACCCCAAUACUUAUAUUGCUUGGCUUGACUUAGUGACUUCUGAUCACAUCUCAUCUGUUUGCAUCACACCCAUUUGGAUUGACACCUAAAAUACUACAACGACAUGAUUAGGGUUUUAGGAUAAUUGACUAAAAAUCUAUUAUCAAUUUGGCGCCGUUGCCAAUUGGGCGUUUGUUUGCUAUAUUUGAGAUUUCAGAAUAUUUAAGAUAAAGUUCUUUUUCAUUUUUUCUGAAAGUUACUAACUUUGUGUUUUUUCUGUUUGUCUGUUUUGAUUCAGGUACUACGAAUCACCAGCUUCACCAGUUGGUACUCGUUGUAUGCAAACACGGUCACAAGAAAAUCAGAAUCUCCUGUUCAACGAUAACAUAAACCGUAUUGCACGCCAACUCAGAACACAGACAAAAACAGACACAAUAGCUGCAGUUGUAGAUGAGCAAGUGCAACCAAACAACAUAGGUGCAGACGAUGCACCACGCAACCACAAUCAGCGUAAUGGCAUCGUGCCUCCACCAGUGUAGAAUAACA
RNAcentral lists this small RNA (2513 nucleotides) under Arabidopsis thaliana (thale cress). RNAcentral's name for it is "ATSL273230". The record is from RNAcentral. Lineage: Eukaryota; Viridiplantae; Streptophyta; Magnoliopsida; Brassicales; Brassicaceae.